Astyanax mexicanus (Mexican tetra) is the source of this 66-nucleotide regulatory RNA element. It matches the Rfam family "MAT2A 3'UTR stem loop F". The record is from Rfam. Lineage: Eukaryota; Metazoa; Chordata; Actinopteri; Characiformes; Acestrorhamphidae.
CUUGGAAAGAUUGCAAAUUUGGCUGGUGUGGUACAGAGAAACCAGCUUUGUUUACAUGCAAUCAUG